This 700-nucleotide ribosomal RNA is filed under the name Rhodococcus sp. PSY019. Its description in RNAcentral is "bacterial SSU rRNA". It matches the Rfam family "Bacterial small subunit ribosomal RNA", at positions 193 to 907 of the family's 1533-position model. Lineage: Bacteria; Bacillati; Actinomycetota; Actinomycetes; Mycobacteriales; Nocardiaceae. The record is from RNAcentral.
GGGUGGGUGGAAAGAUUUAUCGGUGCAGGAUGGGCCCGCGGCCUAUCAGCUUGUUGGUGGGGUAAUGGCCUACCAAGGCGACGACGGGUAGCCGACCUGAGAGGGUGACCGGCCACACUGGGACUGAGACACGGCCCAGACUCCUACGGGAGGCAGCAGUGGGGAAUAUUGCACAAUGGGCGAAAGCCUGAUGCAGCGACGCCGCGUGAGGGAUGAAGGCCUUCGGGUUGUAAACCUCUUUCAGCAGGGACGAAGCGCAAGUGACGGUACCUGCAGAAGAAGCACCGGCUAACUACGUGCCAGCAGCCGCGGUAAUACGUAGGGUGCGAGCGUUGUCCGGAAUUACUGGGCGUAAAGAGUUCGUAGGCGGUUUGUCGCGUCGUUUGUGAAAACCCGGGGCUCAACUUCGGGCUUGCAGGCGAUACGGGCAGACUUGAGUGUUUCAGGGGAGACUGGAAUUCCUGGUGUAGCGGUGAAAUGCGCAGAUAUCAGGAGGAACACCGGUGGCGAAGGCGGGUCUCUGGGAAACAACUGACGCUGAGGAACGAAAGCGUGGGUAGCAAACAGGAUUAGAUACCCUGGUAGUCCACGCCGUAAACGGUGGGCGCUAGGUGUGGGUUCCUUCCACGGAAUCUGUGCCGUAGCUAACGCAUUAAGCGCCCCGCCUGGGGAGUACGGCCGCAAGGCUAAAACUCAAAGG